Cyprinus carpio carpio is the source of this 1423-nucleotide long non-coding RNA. NCBI's taxonomy places the organism in Eukaryota, Metazoa, Chordata, Actinopteri, Cypriniformes, Cyprinidae. The record is from Ensembl.
GUCAAGGACACCAUGCUUUUUCGCAUCUUCUGCAAGAUGUACAAGGCAGUGUGCAUUGUAGGACAAGAAUUGUGGACCAUACAGUUGACCAAAGAUGAAGAUUCCCACAAAAAGUAGCAAGAAAUUUUUGUACACCUCUGUGUUAAGAAGAUCUUUCAUCAUGACAGCCUACAAGUCAGAGGACCCAUCUUCAGCCACAGGAGAAGAAGCCGUCUCAUGAUUCCGAGGCACACAAGGUGCAUGUAGUCGAGGGGGAAACCAGAGACCAUGUUUAGGGAUGUUUCUUCAAGAGGUACAAACCAUCCUGUGUGCAUUUUUCACAUCCGUGAUAGCCUGUGUGACCUUUAACAUUUUUCAGGAAUGCACGGGCAGGUGCAUCGCAGACCAUCGAAGAGAGUAUGUCCCUAGGAUGGGCCAGAACUGUGUUGCGGAGCUCUUAUAGAGGGCCAACCAUCAAUGCUGACCUGAAGCUCCAACGUGUGAAUGUUGCGCAGAAUGUCAACAUUCUGAUGUAGCACCUCUGCAAUUGAAUUCAGCACUCCAAAAUGCUGUGGAAACCUGACCUGGUGAGGACCCUCUCCUCCAUCCUCAACCAUUGAACCUCUUAUCACACUCGGACGAGGACAAACCAGCCUGUGAUCUAGACUCCUAGAUCCAACCCUGGUCCACGAUCAUUCCCACACCUGUGUCUCAUCACAGUCCAUCACCUGUGUCUGCACCCUGCCUACUGCUAAUAUUAUGGAUUUCUGUUCUGGAGAGAUAUGCCAUUCACAACAAUCUCUACACAAUAUCAAACUCAAAUAAUUUAGUCCUGCCUAACAGUUUUCCUGAUUUGUUACUGUUCACAAUGUAGCACAGUCUCGUCUUUGUGCAUUCAGUUGUUAAAAUAUGUCCUUAUUAUUUGAUUGUAUCUCAAGUUUAUUAUUUAAAAGCAAAUUCACAAUCUUUCACGAGAAGAGAUAAUAGGUGUGUCUGACUUGAAGCAGUGCUGUGCAGACCGAUCGAAGUAUGACAUCACAGUACCACGAGAGCAAUAAGACUGUAAGACAGCUUCUUAUGCUUUUGAAUCACUCUCAUGAUACUUUGUCAUACUUUAAGCAGUGCUGCGCAGACCAAUUGAAGUUGAACACGUCUAAAGUGUAAACUCUCACUGUCAGCUAUGGGACUUCUGCAGUAAUAUGACGAGCAGGUGUUCAGUGUCAUCAUCUUACUUUAUUGAAAUGCUAUAUUGACCUGGAUUCAGGUUUAAAACUGUUUAACUGGGAAAGAACAAAUUAAGUGUCAUUAAUGUUGUGAGGCUGCAUAACAUCUGGUCAGAAGAAUGUUUGUGUAGUCUGUUUCCUCCUGAGGUUUCUAUCUUGUAUAGAUAAAUAUCUAAAAAUGAGUGUCUUUGUAACCAUUCUCAAUAGAUACUGAAAGCUUU